RNAcentral lists this ribosomal RNA (474 nucleotides) under uncultured bacterium. Its description in RNAcentral is "bacterial SSU rRNA". It matches the Rfam family "Bacterial small subunit ribosomal RNA", at positions 34 to 507 of the family's 1533-position model. The record is from RNAcentral.
CGCUGGCGGCGUGCCUAACACAUGCAAGUCGAACGAAGCACUGUAGAAGGAGACUUCGGUUGAAUUCUGCUUUGACUUAGUGGCGGACGGGUGAGUAAUGCGUGAGCAACCUGCCUUUCAGAGGGGGACAACAGUUGGAAACGACUGCUAAUACCGCAUGAUGUACCGAGGGGGCAUCCCUUUGGUACCAAAGAUUUUAUCGCUGAAAGAUGGGCUCACGUCUGAUUAGUUAGUUGGUGAGGUAACGGCUCACCAAGACUGCGAUCAGUAGCCGGACUGAGAGGUUGAACGGCCACAUUGGGACUGAGACACGGCCCAGACUCCUACGGGAGGCAGCAGUGGGGGAUAUUGCGCAAUGGGGGCAACCCUGACGCAGCAACGCCGCGUGAAUGAAGAAGGUUUUCGGAUCGUAAAGUUCUUUAAGUGUGGAAGAAGAUGACGGUACACACAGAAUAAGCCACGGCUAACUACGUG